AACGAUGAACCGCUUUCGGGCGUGGAUUAGUGGCGAACGGGUGAGUAACACGUGGGCAAUCUGCCCUGCACUCUGGGACAAGCCCUGGAAACGGGGUCUAAUACCGGAUAUCACUGUCUGCCGCAUGGUGGAUGGUGUAAAGCUCCGGCGGUGCAGGAUGAGCCCGCGGCCUAUCAGCUUGUUGGUGAGGUAGUGGCUCACCAAGGCGACGACGGGUAGCCGGCCUGAGAGGGCGACCGGCCACACUGGGACUGAGACACGGCCCAGACUCCUACGGGAGGCAGCAGUGGGGAAUAUUGCACAAUGGGCGAAAGCCUGAUGCAGCGACGCCGCGUGAGGGAUGACGGCCUUCGGGUUGUAAACCUCUUUCAGCAGGAAGAAGCAAA
Molecule: ribosomal RNA, 386 nt
Filed under: Streptomyces violascens
Lineage: Bacteria; Bacillati; Actinomycetota; Actinomycetes; Kitasatosporales; Streptomycetaceae
Description: bacterial SSU rRNA
Rfam family: Bacterial small subunit ribosomal RNA
Source: RNAcentral